RNAcentral lists this ribosomal RNA (789 nucleotides) under Bacillus mycoides. RNAcentral describes it as "bacterial SSU rRNA". It matches the Rfam family "Bacterial small subunit ribosomal RNA", at positions 33 to 802 of the family's 1533-position model. The record is from RNAcentral. Lineage: Bacteria; Bacillati; Bacillota; Bacilli; Caryophanales; Bacillaceae.
AAGCUGGCGGCGUGCCUAUAAUGCAAGUCCAGCGAAUGGAUUAAGAGCUUGCUCUUAUGAAGUUAGCGGCGGACGGGUGAGUAACACGUGGGUAACCUACCCNUAAGACUGGGAUAACUCCGGGAAACCGGGGCUAAUACCGGAUAAUAUUUUGAACUGCAUAGUUCGAAAUUGAAAGGCGGCUUCGGCUGUCACUUAUGGAUGGACCCGCGUCGCAUUAGCUAGUUGGUGAGGUAACGGCUCACCAAGGCGACGAUGCGUAGCCGACCUGAGAGGGUGAUCGGCCACACUGGGACUGAGACACGGCCCAGACUCCUACGGGAGGCAGCAGUAGGGAAUCUUCCGCAAUGGACGAAAGUCUGACGGAGCAACGCCGCGUGAGUGAUGAAGGCUUUCGGGUCGUAAAACUCUGUUGUUAGGGAAGAACAAGUGCUAGUUGAAUAAGCUGGCACCUUGACGGUACCUAACCAGAAAGCCACGGCUAACUACGUGCCAGCAGCCGCGGUAAUACGUAGGUGGCAAGCGUUAUCCGGAAUUAUUGGGCCGUAAAGCGCGCGCAGGUGGUUUCUUAAGUCUGAUGUGAAAGCCCACGGCUCAACCGUGGAGGGUCAUUGGAAACUGGGAGACUUGAGUGCAGAAGAGGAAAGUGGAAUUCCAUGUGUAGCGGUGAAAUGCGUAGAGAUAUGGAGGAACACCAGUGGCGAAGGCGACUUUCUGGUCUGUAACUGACACUGAGGCGCGAAAGCGUGGGGAGCCAAACAGGAUUAGAUACCCUGGUAGUCCACCCCG